This 64-nucleotide transfer RNA is filed under the name Cavia porcellus (domestic guinea pig). It matches the Rfam family "tRNA". Rfam says of the family: Transfer RNA (tRNA) molecules are approximately 80 nucleotides in length. The record is from Rfam by way of RNAcentral. Lineage: Eukaryota; Metazoa; Chordata; Mammalia; Rodentia; Caviidae.
GGGGAUUUAGCUCAGCGGCAUAAGCGCCUGCCUUGCAAGCAGGAAGUCGUGAGUUCAAUCUCCA